GUUGUACACUGAGCUCUUGCUUCAUACUUCCAGAAAAAACAUGGACAAAAAUUCAAAUACAUUUUUCAAUGAAAUUUAAAAAAUCGCCAAGUAUGCUACAGUAAAUAUUAAAAUUUUAGAAACUUCAGGAGUUAUAUUUAAAAAGAUGGCAGUAACCGGUUUUUUUAUGGCAAUAAUAUUAAACACCCAAUUCAAAUUGUCAGUGGUACAGUUGCACUAAGAAAAAAAUUCCUGAAACAAUUGUUUAUAAAAAACCUAAUAAUUUUGUUUGAUUUAAAAUUGACUUAAAAUACAAUAAAUAUUUUCAUUGGUUAUGAAAAUAGUGAUUCACUAUAAAAUAAAUAUUAUGUAUAUAUCAGCUAUGAAAAUGACUAAUUUCUUGAUUUUUCAUAGCUGCCAAUAUUUAUACCAAUAUAUUAACCAGUUAGUUAGACUCUGUAGUCAAGGGAACAAGACCCUAUUUCAGUUCAAAAUCAAUCUGAUUGCAUCGCUCAUGAAUAAUUUUAGUGUCAGAGACCCAAGAAACUUAUAAUGGAUCAGGAAAAUCAACUCAAAUAUAUAACGAAGAAAAAUAUGAUUGGAAAUAAUAUUUUCAUUGGUUAUGAAAAUAGUGAUACACUAUAAAAUAAACAUUAUGUAUAUAUCGGCUAUGAAAAUGACUGAUUUCUUGAUUUUUCAUAGCUGCCAAUAUUUAUACCAAUAUAUUAACCAGUUAGUUAGACUCUGUGGUCAAGACCCUAUUUCAGUUCAAAAUCAAUCUGAUUUCAUCGCUCAUGAAUAAUUUUAGUGUCGGAGACCCAAGAACCUUAUAAUGGAUCAGGAAAAUCAACUCAAAUAUAUAACGAAGAAAGAUAUGAUUGGAAAUCAAUUCACGGCUAAUACAUUUUUUAUCUCUGUAUAAAAUUUACUCAGUUAAUGAUAAUGAGUUUGAAGACAAAGACAAAUAUUGCUAUCUUGACCAAAAGUCAUCAACUGUGAAUGGCUUUUUAAAGAAUAAGCUCUUAUAGAUUUUGCAGAAUAUAUGAAAGAAGGUAAGAAAAUGUUAUCAAAUUAUACUUAUAAAAAAUAUUUAUAUUU
RNAcentral lists this long non-coding RNA (1077 nucleotides) under Cinara cedri. The record is from RNAcentral. Lineage: Eukaryota; Metazoa; Arthropoda; Insecta; Hemiptera; Aphididae.